CCUACGGGAGUCAGCAGUGAGGAAUAUUGGUCAAUGGACGGAAGUCUGAACCAGUCAUGCCGCGUGCAGGAAGACGGCUCUAUGAGUUGUAAAAUGCUUUUGUACAAGGGUAAACCUGAAUACGUGUAUUCAGCUGAAAGUACUGUACGAAUACGGAUCGGCUAACUCCGUGCCAGCAGCCGCGGUAAUACGGAGGAUCCAAGCGUUAUCCGGAUUUAUUGGGUUUAAAGGGUGCGUAGGCGGAUUGAUAAGUUAGAGGUGAAAUGUCCGAGCUUAACUCGGGAACUGCCUCUAAUACUGUUGAUCUAGAGAGUAGAUGCGGUAGGCGGAAUGUAUGGUGUAGCGGUGAAAUGCUUAGAGAUCAUACAGAACACCGAUUGCGAAGGCAGCUUACCAAGCUAUAUCUGACGUUGAGGCACGAAAGCGUGGGGAGCAAACAGGAUUAGAUACCCUUGUAGUC
This 460-nucleotide ribosomal RNA is filed under the name uncultured bacterium. Its description in RNAcentral is "partial 16S ribosomal RNA". It matches the Rfam family "Bacterial small subunit ribosomal RNA", at positions 338 to 795 of the family's 1533-position model. The record is from RNAcentral.